RNAcentral lists this ribosomal RNA (303 nucleotides) under uncultured Chloroflexota bacterium. RNAcentral describes it as "bacterial SSU rRNA". It matches the Rfam family "Bacterial small subunit ribosomal RNA", at positions 28 to 351 of the family's 1533-position model. The record is from RNAcentral. Lineage: Bacteria; Bacillati; Chloroflexota.
GAUGAACGCUGGCGGCGUGCCUAAUACAUGCAAGUCGAACGGAGGGUAGCAAUACCUUCAGUGGCGAACGGGUGAGUAACGCGUUGGUACCUGCCCCGAAGCGAGGGAUACCGGGACGAAAGUCUCGCUAAUACCCCAUGUGCUCCGCAAGGAGUAAAGGAGAAAUCCACUUUGGGAGGGGCCUGCGUCCCAUCAGCUAGUUGGUAGGGUAACGGCUUACCAAGGCGAUGACGGGUAGGGGACCUGAGAGGGUGAACCCCCACAAUGGAACUGAAACACGGUCCAUACACCUACGGGUGGCAG